RNAcentral lists this transfer RNA (73 nucleotides) under Ornithorhynchus anatinus (platypus). It matches the Rfam family "tRNA". From Rfam's summary of the family: Transfer RNA (tRNA) molecules are approximately 80 nucleotides in length. Their secondary structure includes four short double-helical elements and three loops (D, anti-codon, and T loops). Lineage: Eukaryota; Metazoa; Chordata; Mammalia; Monotremata; Ornithorhynchidae. The record is from Rfam by way of RNAcentral.
GGCAGUAUGGCCUAAUGGACAGAGCACAUGUCUGGGAGUCAUAAGGUUAUGAGUUCUAAUCCCAACUUUGCCA